This is a long non-coding RNA of Populus euphratica (Euphrates poplar), 629 nucleotides long. RefSeq lists it as uncharacterized. NCBI's taxonomy places the organism in Eukaryota, Viridiplantae, Streptophyta, Magnoliopsida, Malpighiales, Salicaceae. The transcript is spliced from 3 exons. The record is from RefSeq and is a predicted model, not a curated record.
UGUAUAACAAUCAACUUUCUUUGCGUUUGCUCGAGGUCUGGGCCAAUUUUGAUGCUUUCUGUGAAUCCCUCCAUCUGGGCUUAUCAAAAGAGGACGAGGAAAGAAAUAGAACAAGAGAAACGCAGGCUUAUGACUACGCUUUUUCAAAGACUAAAUGAGUCGGAAGGCGUGUGCUCUAAAGUCCGCCCAAAGUUCCAUCAAUAAGGUCCCCAGAGAGGGAGAGCUACAUCCUGCAUUUUCUUGAGAUUUCUGCGAGGUUUUUGUUCGAAUAAGCAACAAGAUGCACGAUAUUGUUGAAGGGCAACUCCUUUCAUGCCUGUCCAAAAUUUGUAGUCAUUUUCAAUUCAAGGUCAACAAUAAAUUUUUUAUAAUAUAUAUAAUAAUGCUAGAAUUACGCUCGAUCUCCUCAGCAUGCAUCGAGUAAUCGCGUUUGGAUUUCGAGAUCGACUGAUUUGAAAUGCUCGGUAGCCCAAAGAAUAAAUGAUGUCUGCUGUGCCAUCGACCGAGACCGUCAGCAGGAUGGGCGCGCAAUGACGUUUUACUCCGAGGAGGCUAUGUGGUUUCUUUUCUUUGUUCUUUAUUAAUCUUUCCCAGGGUUCCUAUUAAAAUAGAAAGGAUAGAUAGUGUAG